This is a non-coding RNA of Solanum lycopersicum (tomato), 617 nucleotides long. The record is from RefSeq and is a predicted model, not a curated record. NCBI's taxonomy places the organism in Eukaryota, Viridiplantae, Streptophyta, Magnoliopsida, Solanales, Solanaceae.
AUAUCGCCAUCAACUCAAGCGGCAAUAGAUGCGCUUAUCAAAGAUUUGGGUAAAGAUGCUACUAAUGCUAGACCAUUAUAUUCUUACGAUUCACAGAAUAUAACUAGCAGCCAGUACUUGUUGAUCGACCGUCAAUUACCCACUGAUAUUCCAAUAACGGAGAUUGCUGUUAAAUCUGAUGCAGUCACUCCUGCGCAUAGAAAUAGAAUGCCUUCGAGAAGGAUUCAAUCUCCAUAUUGUACUUCUUUUGGGUCAAGUGAGAAGGGAAAAGAGAAAUUGAAGGAUAUGGCUCGACUCCAUUUCCCGUUCGAAGGAUGUGGCAUUGCAGAUAAAGUUUUGCCGAAACUUAUUGAGGAUUACAUGAAUUGGUUGUUGAGGGGGCUUCUAAAAAAUCAUAACAAUAAGAACCCAUCGGACGAUAAAUACAGAUCAAGAUCUUCUUCUUUUGGAUUUACGAUGAUGGACUUUGUUGUUGCUUUUCUAAUGAACAAGAAUUGAUUUUAUGUCAUGUCACAGCCAAACAAAUGUUGGUCUGAUGAGCACAUCGAUGUGAUUUUUUACUACCUUCGUAAAAAAUAAAAACUUUGCAGCAUGGAUCAAUACAGAUACACAACAAC